AAGUCGUAACAAGGUCUCCGUUGGUGAACCAGCGGAGGGAUCAUUACAAGAAGCCGAAAGGCUACUUAAAACCAUCGCGAACUUAUCCAAGUUGCUUCGGCGGCGCGGUCCCCUUGGCGGGGGUACCGCUGCCCCGGCCUCUCCGGAGGUGCGGGGCGCACCGUCGGAGGUCACAAACUCUGCAUCACAGCGGUAUCUCUGAGUAAAAAGCAAAUAAGUCAAAACUUUCAACAACGGAUCUCUUGGUUCUG
RNAcentral lists this unclassified non-coding RNA (251 nucleotides) under air metagenome. RNAcentral describes it as "partial contains small subunit ribosomal RNA, internal transcribed spacer 1, and 5.8S ribosomal RNA". The stretch from base 1 to 46 matches the Rfam family "Eukaryotic small subunit ribosomal RNA", at positions 1786 to 1831 of the family's 1831-position model. The record is from RNAcentral.